RNAcentral lists this ribosomal RNA (484 nucleotides) under Klebsiella pneumoniae subsp. pneumoniae. RNAcentral's name for it is "bacterial SSU rRNA". It matches the Rfam family "Bacterial small subunit ribosomal RNA", at positions 1048 to 1532 of the family's 1533-position model. The record is from RNAcentral. Lineage: Bacteria; Pseudomonadati; Pseudomonadota; Gammaproteobacteria; Enterobacterales; Enterobacteriaceae.
GCUGUCGUCAGCUCGUGUUGUGAAAUGUUGGGUUAAGUCCCGCAACGAGCGCAACCCUUAUCCUUUGUUGCCAGCGGUCCGGCCGGGAACUCAAAGGAGACUGCCAGUGAUAAACUGGAGGAAGGUGGGGAUGACGUCAAGUCAUCAUGGCCCUUACGACCAGGGCUACACACGUGCUACAAUGGCAUAUACAAAGAGAAGCGACCUCGCGAGAGCAAGCGGACCUCAUAAAGUAUGUCGUAGUCCGGAUUGGAGUCUGCAACUCGACUCCAUGAAGUCGGAAUCGCUAGUAAUCGUAGAUCAGAAUGCUACGGUGAAUACGUUCCCGGGCCUUGUACACACCGCCCGUCACACCAUGGGAGUGGGUUGCAAAAGAAGUAGGUAGCUUAACCUUCGGGAGGGCGCUUACCACUUUGUGAUUCAUGACUGGGGUGAAGUCGUAACAAGGUAACCGUAGGGGAACCUGCGGUUGGAUCACCUCCUU